This 650-nucleotide ribosomal RNA is filed under the name Cortinarius oulankaensis. RNAcentral's name for it is "eukaryotic LSU rRNA". It matches the Rfam family "Eukaryotic large subunit ribosomal RNA", at positions 1 to 625 of the family's 3401-position model. The record is from RNAcentral. Lineage: Eukaryota; Fungi; Basidiomycota; Agaricomycetes; Agaricales; Cortinariaceae.
UGACCUCAAAUCAGGUAGGACUACCCGCUGAACUUAAGCAUAUCAAUAAGCGGAGGAAAAGAAACUAACAAGGAUUCCCCUAGUAACUGCGAGUGAAGCGGGAAGAGCUCAAAUUUAAAAUCUGGCAGUCUUUUGGCUGUCCGAGUUGUAAUCUAGAGAAGUGUUAUCCGCGCUGGACCGUGUACAAGUCUCCUGGAAUGGAGCAUCAUAGAGGGUGAGAAUCCCGUCUUUGACAUGGACUGCCAGGGCUUUUGUGAUGCGCUCUCGAAGAGUCGAGUUGUUUGGGAAUGCAGCUCAAAACGGGUGGUAAAUUCCAUCUAAAGCUAAAUAUUGGCGAGAGACCGAUAGCGAACAAGUACCGUGAGGGAAAGAUGAAAAGAACUUUGGAAAGAGAGUUAAACAGUACGUGAAAUUGCUGAAAGGGAAACGCUUGAAGUCAGUCGCGUCGUCCAGGGAUCAACCUUGCUUUUGCUUGGUGCACUUUCUGGUUUGACGGGUCAGCAUCAAUUUCGACCGUUGGAAAAAGAUUGGGGGAAUGUGGCAUCUUUGGAUGUGUUUAUAGCCCUUGGUUGCAUACAAUGGUUUUUGGGAUUGAGGAACUCAGCACGCCGCAAGGCCGGGUUUUUUAAACCACGUACGUGCUUAGGAUG